UGAAGGCCUUCGGGUUGUAAACUGCUUUUGUACGGAACGAAACGGUGAGCUCUAAUACAGUUUGCUAAUGACGGUACCGUAAGAAUAAGCACCGGCUAACUACGUGCCAGCAGCCGCGGUAAUACGUAGGGUGCGAGCGUUAAUCGGAAUUACUGGGCGUAAAGCGUGCGCAGGCGGUGAUGUAAGACAGAUGUGAAAUGCCCGGGCUCAACCUGGGACCUGCAUUUGUGACUGCAUCGCUAGAGUACGGUAGAGGGGGAUGGAAUUCCGCGUGUAGCAGUGAAAUGCGUAGAUAUGCGGAGGAACACCGAUGGCGAAGGCAAUCCCCUGGACCUGUACUGACGCUCAUGCACGAAAGCGUGGGGAGCAAACAGGAUUAGAUACCCUGGUAGUCCACGCCCUAAACGAUGUCAACUGGUUGUUGGGUCUUCACUGACUCAGUAACGAAGC
Molecule: ribosomal RNA, 450 nt
Filed under: Comamonadaceae bacterium
Lineage: Bacteria; Pseudomonadati; Pseudomonadota; Betaproteobacteria; Burkholderiales; Comamonadaceae
Description: bacterial SSU rRNA
Rfam family: Bacterial small subunit ribosomal RNA
Source: RNAcentral